AUGACAAGACCAAAGGAAGCCAACUG
RNAcentral lists this non-coding RNA (26 nucleotides) under Cricetulus griseus (Chinese hamster). The record is from RNAcentral. Lineage: Eukaryota; Metazoa; Chordata; Mammalia; Rodentia; Cricetidae.